Molecule: ribosomal RNA, 420 nt
Filed under: Fusobacteriota bacterium
Lineage: Bacteria; Fusobacteriati; Fusobacteriota
Description: Fusobacteria bacterium partial 16S ribosomal RNA
Rfam family: Bacterial small subunit ribosomal RNA
Source: RNAcentral
UGGGGGAUAUUGCACAAUGGGCGAAAGCCUGCUGCAGCGACGCCGCGUGGGGGAUGAAGGCCUUCGGGUUGUAAACUUCUUUUGCUCUGAACAAGGCAUGCCUUUGGGGUGUGUUGAGUGUAGGGGUUGACUAGCGCCGGCUAACUACGUGCCAGCAGCCGCGGUAAUACGUAGGGCGCGAGCGUUGUCCGGAAUUAUUGGGCGUAAAGGGCUUGUAGGUGGCUGGUUGCGUCUGUCGUGAAAGCUCAUGGCUUAACUGUGGGUUUGCGGUGGGUACGGGCUGGCUUGAGUGCAGUAGGGGAGGCUGGAAUUCCUGGUGUAGCGGUGGAAUGCGCAGAUAUCAGGAGGAAUACCGGUGGCGAAGGCGGGUCUCUGGGCUGUUACUGACGCUGAGGAGCGAAAGCGUGGGGAGCGAACAGG